UGCCAGCCGCCGCGGUAAUACGGACGGUCCGAGCGUUAUCCGGAAUCAUUGGGUUUAAAGGGUCCGUAGGCGGUUAGAUAAGUCAGUGGUGAAAGUUUUCGGCUCAACCGGAAAAAUGCCAUUGAUACUGUUUAGCUUGAAUUAGUGUGAAGUAGGCGGAAUAUGACAUGUAGCGGUGAAAUGCUUAGAUAUGUCAUAGAACACCGAUAGCGAAGGCAGCUUACUAUGUUAGUAUUGACGCUAAUGCACGAAAGCGUGGGGGGCGAACAGGAUUAGAUA
RNAcentral lists this ribosomal RNA (279 nucleotides) under uncultured bacterium. RNAcentral describes it as "partial 16S ribosomal RNA". It matches the Rfam family "Bacterial small subunit ribosomal RNA", at positions 506 to 784 of the family's 1533-position model. The record is from RNAcentral.